AUUGAACGCUGGCGGCAGGCCUAACACAUGCAAGUCGAACGAGUGGCGGACGGGUGAGUAAUGUCUGGGAAACUGCCUGAUGGAGGGGGAUAACUACUGGAAACGGUAGCUAAUACCGCAUACCAUCAGAUGUGCCCAGAUGGGAUUAGCUAGUUGGUGGGGUAACGGCUCACCAAGGCGACGAUCCCUAGCUGGGCUGAGAGGAUGACCAGCCACACGGGAACUGGGACACGGUCAAGACGCCGAGGGGAGGGUGCGGGGGGGAAUAUUGCACAAGGGGUGAAAGCCAGAUGAAGCCAUGCAGCGUGUAGGAAGAGGGCCGGCGGGUUGUAAAGUACUUUCAGAGGGGAGGCGUUACCCGCAGAAAAAGCACAGGCUAACUCCGUGCCAGCAGCCGCGGUAAUAC
Molecule: ribosomal RNA, 406 nt
Filed under: uncultured bacterium
Lineage: Bacteria
Description: partial 16S ribosomal RNA
Rfam family: Bacterial small subunit ribosomal RNA
Source: RNAcentral